GAGGUUUCAGGUGUUGUCAUGGAGGACGCUGCAAAGCUGGGGCCGGCGGAGGAGGUCCCCGAAAACCAAAGAAUUCAGCCGGCGACCGGUCGGGGAGGAGCUCUGGUGGAGCGCACCUCGACCCCCGGCGGCCUGGCCCUGGUGAGCCCCUACCACACCCACCGGGCCAGGGACCCCUUAGACCUCGUGGCGCUCGCAGAGCAGGUGCAGAAGGCUGAUGAAUUCAUCCGAGCAAAUGCCACCAACAAACUGAUGGUCAUAGCUGAGCAAAUCCAACAUUUACAAGAACAAGCCAGGAAGGAAUGGGGGACAGGUUGUCCACAUGACUUCCUUGGUGCCUACAAGCUACAGUAUGACUUGUCCUGGACUCCAUAUGAGGACAUUGAGAAGCACGAUGCCCAAAUCAGCAUACUGAACACGUUGCUAAGCCAGCCUGCAGCCCUGCCUCCAAACACUGAACCCACCUUCCAUGGACUGACUGAGAAUGGACACUCAUAGAUAGCUCUCACAGCAAGGACCUUCCACCUCUUUGUUGCCCUCAUUCUCGGCCUUGAUGGGAGGUGGCAUGAGAAUUGAGGUAUUGUGGGUGAAUCAUGAACUUCUUGAAUAAAGGCCCUGUGUGGAGCGCC
Molecule: non-coding RNA, 629 nt
Organism: Callorhinus ursinus (northern fur seal)
Lineage: Eukaryota; Metazoa; Chordata; Mammalia; Carnivora; Otariidae
Source: RefSeq, a predicted model, not a curated record